RNAcentral lists this ribosomal RNA (253 nucleotides) under uncultured bacterium. RNAcentral describes it as "partial 16S ribosomal RNA". It matches the Rfam family "Bacterial small subunit ribosomal RNA", at positions 524 to 776 of the family's 1533-position model. The record is from RNAcentral.
CACGUAGGAGACGAGCGUUAUCCGGAUUUACUGGGCGUAAAGCGCGGGUAGGUGGGGUCUUAAGUCAUGCGUGAAAGCCUCCGGCUUAACCGGGGGAGGUCGUGUGAAACUGGGGCUCUAGAGAUAGGUAGAGGCCGAUGGAAUUCCGGGUGGAGUGGUGAAAUGCGUAGAGAUCCGGAGGAACACCAGUGGCGAAGGCGAUCGGCUAGGCCUGAUCUGACACUCAGACGCGACAGCAUGGGGAGCGAACGGG